GAUGAACGCUGGCGGCGUGCCUAAUACAUGCAAGUCGAACGCAUAGCGAAAGGUGCUUGCACCUUUCACGUGUGUGGCGAACGGGUGAGUAACACGUGGACAACCUGCCUCAAGGCUGGGGUUAACAUUUGGAAACAGAUGCUAAUACCGAAUAAAACUUAGUGUCGCAUGACACAAAGUUAAAAGGCGCUUCGGCGUCACCUAGAGAUGGAUCCGCGGUGCAUUAGUUAGUUGGUGGGGUAAAGGCCUACCAAGACAAUGAUGCAUAGCCGGGUUGAGAGACGGAUCGGCCACAGUGGGACUGAGACACGGCCCAAACUCCUACGGGAGGCUGCAGUAGGGAAUCUUCCACAAUGGGCGAAAGCCUGAUGGAGCAACGCCGCGUGUGUGAUGAAGGCUUUCGGGUCGUAAAGCACUGUUGUAUGGGAAGAACAGCUAGAAUAGGAAAUGAUUUUAGUUUGACGGUACCAUACCAGAAAGGGACGGCUAAAUACGUG
Molecule: ribosomal RNA, 497 nt
Filed under: uncultured bacterium
Lineage: Bacteria
Description: partial 16S ribosomal RNA
Rfam family: Bacterial small subunit ribosomal RNA
Source: RNAcentral